RNAcentral lists this ribosomal RNA (831 nucleotides) under uncultured bacterium. RNAcentral describes it as "bacterial SSU rRNA". It matches the Rfam family "Bacterial small subunit ribosomal RNA", at positions 8 to 889 of the family's 1533-position model. The record is from RNAcentral.
AGAGUUUGAUCAUGGCUCAGAACGAACGCUGGCGGCAGGCUUAACACAUGCAAGUCGAACGCCCCGCAAGGGGAGUGGCGCACGGGUGAGUAACGCGUGGAUAUCUGCCUCUUGGUUCGGAAUAACCCCGGGAAACUGGGGCUAAUACCGGAUGGUUCCUACGGGAUAAAGAUUUAUCGCCAAAAGAUGAGUCCGCGUACGAUUAGCUAGUUGGUGAGGUAAUGGCUCACCAAGGCGACGACCGUUAGCUGGUCUGAGAGGACGAUCAGCCACACUGGGACUGAGACACGGCCCAGACUCCUACGGGAGGCAGCAGUGGGGAAUAUUGGACAAUGGGGGCAACCCUGAUCCAGCCAUGCCGCGUGAGUGAUGAAGGCCUUCGGGUUGUAAAGCUCUUUUGGCGGGGACGAUGAUGACGGUACCCGCAGAAUAAGCCCCGGCUAACUUCGUGCCAGCAGCCGCGGUAAGACGAAGGGGGCUAGCGUUGUUCGGAAUUACUGGGCGUAAAGCGAGUGUAGGCGGUUGCCGUAGUCAGGUGUGAAAGCCUUGAGCUCAACUCAAGAAAUGCACUUGAUACUCGGUGGCUAGAGUACCGGAGAGGAUAGUGGAAUUCCCAGUGUAGUGGUGAAAUACGUAGAGAUUGGGAAGAACACCAGUGGCGAAGGNGGCUAUCUGGACGGUUACUGACGCUAAGACUCGAAAGCGUGGGGAGCAAACAGGAUUAGAUACCCUGNAGUCCACGCCGUAAACGAUGGGUGCUAGACGUUGGCGAGCUUGNUCGUCAGUGUCGCAGCUAACGCGUUNAGCACCCCGCCUGGGGAGUANGGCCGC